RNA transcript from Salvia splendens (bonfire salvia), 3037 nucleotides. RefSeq lists it as uncharacterized. The transcript has 17 exons. Lineage: Eukaryota; Viridiplantae; Streptophyta; Magnoliopsida; Lamiales; Lamiaceae. The record is from RefSeq and is a predicted model, not a curated record.
CCCAAAAUCUGCCGCAAAAACGUACAAAAAUUUGUUGGAUUCUGUUCGUCGUUACUAUCUUUCUACAUACUUCCAAAUCCCAUCUCCAUUUUCUGUUCGCUUACUCUGAUUUCUCUCUCUACGUCUGGCCUUUUGAGGUAAGGUUUCUCACCACAAAUUAGGGCAUUUUUAAGGAUAAAAAGUGUGAUUUUUUUAGUUAAUGGAGGCCGCCCCCGGUGCUACUGCCGCGGUGCGCAAUGGCGGGGUUGCGAUGCCGGCUUCUUCCUCGUUUGAACCUUCCCGCGACGAGUGGCGCGUAGUAUCUGAGCAAUCGGUUAGAAGCUCCGGUAACGAGGAGCUGGAGCGCUCAAAAGUAGGUCGAUCGGAUGAGAGAUUAAUAUACGAGGUGCAGCAUGGAAGAAGGCAACUCGAUGUUGAUUUUCACUCGAUCGCGAUUGAUGGGGGUCUGGAUAAUGAUAUUUUGCAGCAAAGACUUCACAAUGUAGUGGAAAAAAGGGAGGAGUUGCAGAACAUGGAGCUUGAACUUCGAGCCCAAAUAUCCGCACGAUCUGAAGUUGCGAGAUUGCAUAAUACAUUUGAUGGUCAGAUAAAAGAGCACAUGAAUGCCAAUGUCAAACUGCAGGAACAACUGCAUGAAAAGGAACAGAAGAUAUAUGAGUUGGAGAGAAGGAUGGAUGAAAAGGAAAGAGAAUUACAUGCUAUCAGAUUGGACAGUGAAGCGGCUUGGGCCAAAGAGGCUCUUUUAAGGGAACAAAACAACAAGCUCCAGAGCUACAUGAUGGAGAGGGAUAAUGUCGAAGCUGAUAGAGCACAGCAUAUUAAACAAAUUCAUGAUCUUCAGGAACAUAUUCAAGAAAAAGAGCGCCAGUUCCUUGAAUUGCAGGAACAGCAUAGGAUUGCUCAAGAAACUGCCAUUUUUAAAGAUGAGCAGAUAAGGGAUGCACAAACUUGGAUAUCUCGUGCUCAGGAAAUUGAUGCAUUGCAAACAUCCGCUAAUCACACCUUACAAUCUGAACUGAGAGAACGAACAGAACAGUAUAAUCAGUUGUGGCUUGGCUGUCAAAGACAGUUUGGGGAAAUGGAAAGGCUUCAUUUGCACGUACAACAGCUCCAGGUUGAAAUGGCCGAUUCAAGAGAAAAGAGUAGAAACCAAUCAGAUGUGUCUCAUGUUUUGCAUACAAAUUCAAAUGACGCGUCUCGACUUGAACAUGCGAAUGGUAUCCAGUUGGAGGUGAAUGAUCGCAACUCACCCGCUGUAAACACUGGUAGCUUAGAAAAUGGAAAUUCUGAAACUUCUGGAGGGACCACUGUAACACAGAAUGACCAAGUUAAUGGUGUUCCAUUUGCUCGAUCAUCCAUGUUUAGUAUGCCGGCCUACCUUCCAACUGCAUUGCAUCCAUUUGUAAUGCAACAUGGUGUACCUCAUCCCUCACAAGUCACACAGUCUCCUUUGUCAUUAUCCGGUAUGCCAUUGGUGCAAAAUUGGCAGAGCCAGCAGUAUCCUGAGCAAACUGAAGGAAAUUUGUCUAGGACAGAUUCUCAUUUUGACCAUGAAGCAUUAGCCGUAAAUGAGCAUGCUCAUCGUGCAAACUAUGUGGAUGCAAGCAUCGAUUCACAGCUAGAUGCUGCUGAUUCUGUGGUUCCAUCACCAAAUGGAGAGGUAGAGGUGCAUGACUCUAUAGAUGAGAGCCAUGACAAAGCCCAAUCUCAGCUGAACUUGCAGCAAAUAUCAUCCCAGUUUCAUGAGGCUCUUAGAGUGGAUCCCCUUGAUAAUGGCAACGACGAUAAGGAGAAGAAAGGCACACCUGUAACUAGUCACAGCAUGGAUGACAGAAAUGCAAUGAUGGAACAUCCUAGUUUUGCAAUCAAUGCAUCUUCAUCAGAAGGACAAACCCGUGCUGUUAAUUUUAGCGAAACAGCCUCAUGUACUGCCUCAAGUGAUGCUUCAACCAUUGCCUUUGCUUCCAUGGAGCAGAAGAGUAAUAUAGCUGGAAAUCUUGGGGAAAGUUAUCUAUUGGACGAAAGAGCAUUGCUGGCUUCUAUAGCUCGUGCUAUAGGAUCUGGUGGCAGGACCAGAAUUAGUUCAACUCUUCCAAAUAGACUUGGAAAAAUGCUUGCACCUCUUCACUGGCAUGAUUAUAAAAAGAAGUAUGGGAAGCUUGAUGAUUUUGUGGGCAAUCAUCCUGAUUUAUUUUUGAUCGAGGGAGACUACAUUCAGCUACGAGAAGGUGCACAGAAAACCAUAGCAGCCACAGCAACUGCUGCUAAAGUGGCCGCUGCAGCUGCAGCUGCUCCAUCUUCUUUCACAUCACUGACUCCUUCUGUAGCAGUUACUCCCAUGGCACAUUCCCACAGAUCGAAAAAGUUCUCAGCAUUGCAAAGUCAGAACUUGAACGGCAGCAACUUUCAUGUUGCUGGAGGAGUCUCAAAUGGUAUUUUGAACAAAUCAAAUGCCGAACCGAAGAGCUCAGUUGGCAAUGGGAUGUGCCCUGACAGAAUUGGUUAUCAUCAAAGCAAGGGUCCAUCUCACGGGAAGCCUGGUAUGACCAUGGCUGUGCAAAAACCGAACAACAGGACAACUACUGCUGCAUCAAGUCCCAGAAGAUAGUAAGUACGCGUAUAUUUGGAUUGUGCUGUUUUCUUACAAACAGAGACCUUUGCUUGUGAAUCUCCUGAUGGCAUAAACUAUCACUUACAUAUGAUCCAAGGAUGAAGAAAAGCAUGCACCAAAUUAGAUAUUUUGGUAAUUUGAGCGACGUGCUGAUUAACUUUAUGCACAACUGACCGGGCAGAGCAGACGCUUACAGGAAGAAGCUGUAACAUGUCAAGUUGAAAUAUGCAUUUCUAUCUAUCCCCUUGGAAAUGUGAUUCAAGAUAUAAUUAUGUAUUGGUUACCGUAUAGUAAAUGGGGCUUUUUUCCUAUUGGUGUCAAGCUAUCCCAUUUCUUAUAGCUUUAAUUUUGAUGAUGACUAAACUGAACCCCAACCAUACUUCUAUUUUGACCAAUAUGACAUUAAUCUAUGCCAGGUUGUAUGUA